UUUUUAUUCAGUGAUGUUGUUGAAAUAAAUAAUACACAUUUUGAUGUUUGGUUAACAAUCGGUUACAAAUAGUAUAUGCAUAUUCAGAACUAGAACAAAAUUAAGUAGAUAGGUUCUGCAAAGUGUGUAAACCAGGUUAAUAAAGGACUGGACAUGGGUCACAGGGCGAGUUGUCCCCAUACCAAUUUCACUCAUGCGUACUACAAAUAUCUACAGUAAAAACAUCCGCUUACAAGUAAACAAAUGACGCUCAUGUAGAUGAGAUGAAAUCUGAUAAUUUACUUAAAUAAAAGAGUACAUAUUUACGAUAGUGAUUGUUUU
RNAcentral lists this long non-coding RNA (321 nucleotides) under Mytilus galloprovincialis (Mediterranean mussel). Lineage: Eukaryota; Metazoa; Mollusca; Bivalvia; Mytilida; Mytilidae. The record is from RNAcentral.